GACGAACGCUGGCGGCGUGCUUAACACAUGCAAGUCGAACGGAAAGGCCCGGCUUUUGUGGGGUGCUCGAGUGGCGAACGGGUGAGUAACACGUGAGUAACCUGUCCUUGACUUUGGGAUAACUUCAGGAAACUGGGGCUAAUACCGGAUAGGAGCUCCUGCUGCAUGGUGGGGGUUGGAAAGUUUCGGCGGUUGGGGAUGGGCUCGCGGCUUAUCAGCUUGUUGGUGGGGUAGUGGCUUACCAGGGUUUUGACGGGUAGCCGGCCUGAGGGUGACCGGCGACCUUGGGACUACGGUAGGGCCCAGAAUCCAACGUGACGCAGCAGUGGGGAGUAUUGCGGAAUGGCCGCAAGCCUGUUGCAGCAACCCCGCGUGCGGAAUAACCGCCUUCGGGUUGUAAACCGCUUUCGACUGUACCGAGGCGUGAGUGACGGUACUGGGUAAAGAAGCACCGGCUAACUACGUG
Molecule: ribosomal RNA, 466 nt
Filed under: uncultured bacterium
Lineage: Bacteria
Description: partial 16S ribosomal RNA
Rfam family: Bacterial small subunit ribosomal RNA
Source: RNAcentral